GAUUUCUGACGAACCGGAGUGGCCCGUUUUCAUUUCGGAAAUGAGUGCCGCUUUGAGUUUGUCAUCCUUCCAGAGAGCUGCGUCUACCGUUUACUCGGCCGGACGUAUGCGAUCUGGAUCUAUUACUUUGAAAAAAUUAGAGUGUUUAAAGCAGGCUUAUGCUGUGAAUACAUUAGCAUGGAAUAAUAAUUUAGGACUUUGGUUCUAUUUUGUUGGUUUCUAGGACUGAAGUAAUGAUUGAUAGGGAUAGUUGGGGGUGCUAGUAUUCCGCGGCCAGAGGUGAAAUUCUUGGAUUCGUGGAAGACUAACUACUGCGAAAGCAUU
RNAcentral lists this ribosomal RNA (324 nucleotides) under uncultured Tremula. RNAcentral describes it as "SSU rRNA". The stretch from base 109 to 324 matches the Rfam family "Eukaryotic small subunit ribosomal RNA", at positions 738 to 955 of the family's 1831-position model. Lineage: Eukaryota; Cercozoa. The record is from RNAcentral.